This is a non-coding RNA of Otolemur garnettii (small-eared galago), 112 nucleotides long. The record is from Rfam. Lineage: Eukaryota; Metazoa; Chordata; Mammalia; Primates; Galagidae.
GUGCUUGCUUUGGGAGCACAUAUACUAAAAUUGGAGUAUACAGAGAAGAUUAGCAUGGCACCAGAGCAAAGAUUCAUGAAGCAUUCUAUACAAAGAAAUAAUAAUCACUGUA